UUCGGUAUGCUGUGGGAGUACACAGUGACGACCUUCAUGUACUGUUUCCGUAAUGAUGCAUCUGAGACAACAUUAAAGAGCUCCGUCUCUGUCGUAGGGUACGCAACUGAAGCAACAUCACAAGUGCUUCUGUCGGAGAAGCUACCUAAUGCGUUUGAAACGAUGCAGGUUGUGUUGCCGGAGGAGCAUGUGACCAUUGGUCCGGGAGGAGAGGCAUGGACAAGAUUCGCUACAAACGCUAAGAAUAAUACAACAAGUGUUACUGCCGUU
RNAcentral lists this long non-coding RNA (270 nucleotides) under Zostera marina. RNAcentral describes it as "long non-coding RNA (ZMAR_LNC000317)". The record is from RNAcentral. Lineage: Eukaryota; Viridiplantae; Streptophyta; Magnoliopsida; Alismatales; Zosteraceae.